RNAcentral lists this small nuclear RNA (118 nucleotides) under Oryza brachyantha (malo sina). RNAcentral describes it as "snRNA U5". It matches the Rfam family "U5 spliceosomal RNA". Rfam says of the family: U5 RNA is a component of both types of known spliceosome. The precise function of this molecule is unknown, though it is known that the 5' loop is required for splice site selection and p220 binding, and that both the 3' stem-loop and the Sm site are important for Sm protein binding and cap methylation. The record is from Rfam by way of RNAcentral. Lineage: Eukaryota; Viridiplantae; Streptophyta; Magnoliopsida; Poales; Poaceae.
AGCUGCGCGGUGAGCACAAAGCGAACUAUUCUUUCGCCUUUUACUAAAGAAUACCGUGUGCGCGCCGCAAAUAGCAGCAUACGAUAAUUUUUGAGGGGAUCCCUCAUUCAGAAGGGCC